This is a long non-coding RNA of Ornithodoros turicata, 442 nucleotides long. RefSeq lists it as uncharacterized. The record is from RefSeq and is a predicted model, not a curated record. The transcript has 3 exons. Lineage: Eukaryota; Metazoa; Arthropoda; Arachnida; Ixodida; Argasidae.
GAUCUCGAUUGUAAAAGGCUGGAUCGCGGAUAGGGAGCGCGAGCGUGAAGAAACCGGCCGCCAUCUUACGGUGCUCACAACAGUCGCCGCAGCGAUCAUGGCAACUUCUUGCAAUUACGGUCGUACCAACCGUACUGGCAAGGUUACAGGGCCUAAAUUUAUACAGGUUUCGUCAUGAGGGCUGCCCAGUGAAUAAUCUGUGCAGUGUGAUACGGCUGGGUGUACAGGUUACUUCACAGCUGCCUCGACAUACUCAAGAAAUGGGUGCAGAACCUGCGUAAUGCCCACAAACUUUGACUACCACAGCAUCUCCAGAAAGUAAAGGAAUAUGUGUCACAUGGGAUUUUUAAAGGCAUUCACAGUAUAUAAUACCUUGUAUGAACUGUUGUAGAUCUAAGCAGCUUCUACAGUACACUCUCAGAAAUUAAAACUUGUCAGGGAA